This 253-nucleotide ribosomal RNA is filed under the name uncultured bacterium. RNAcentral's name for it is "partial 16S ribosomal RNA". It matches the Rfam family "Bacterial small subunit ribosomal RNA", at positions 524 to 776 of the family's 1533-position model. The record is from RNAcentral.
UACAGAGAGUGCAAGCGUUAAUCGGAAUUACUGGGCGUAAAGCGCACGUAGGUGGAUAUUUAAGUCGAAUGUGAAAGCCCUGGGCUCAACCUAGGAACUGCAUCCGAUACUGAAUAUCUUGAGUAUAAUAGAGGGAAGUGGAAUUUCCGGUGUAGCGGUGAAAUGCGUAGAUAUCGGAAAGAACACCAGUGGCGAAGGCGGCUUCCUGGAUUAAUACUGACACUGAGGUGCGAAAGCGUGGGGAGCAAACAGG